UACGUAGGGGGCAAGCGUUGUCCGGAUUUAUUGGGCGUAAAGAGCGUGUAGGCGGCUGGGUAGGUCCGUUGUGAAAACUCGAGGCUCAACCUCGAGACGCCGAUGGAAACCCUCCAGCUAGAGUCCGGAAGAGGAGAGUGGAAUUCCCAGUGUAGAGGUGAAAUUCGUAGAUAUUGGGAAGAACACCGGUGGCGAAGGCGGCGAGCUGGUCCAUUACUGACGCUGAGGCGCGACAGCGUGGGGAGCAAACAGG
This 253-nucleotide ribosomal RNA is filed under the name uncultured bacterium. RNAcentral's name for it is "partial 16S ribosomal RNA". It matches the Rfam family "Bacterial small subunit ribosomal RNA", at positions 524 to 776 of the family's 1533-position model. The record is from RNAcentral.